Alligator sinensis (Chinese alligator) is the source of this 1076-nucleotide long non-coding RNA. RefSeq lists it as uncharacterized. NCBI's taxonomy places the organism in Eukaryota, Metazoa, Chordata, Crocodylia, Alligatoridae. The transcript is spliced from 4 exons. The record is from RefSeq and is a predicted model, not a curated record.
UUCUGAGAGAAGAAAAAGAAAUGGGAAAGACGGAACCGGGCAUUAACACAGAAAGGAACUGAACUGAAGGGCAUGGAAAAGUCAUUUCCUCUGAGGACAUAGCUGCAGUUGCUGCCUUUAUGUAAUGCUCACAAAACGCCACACCCACUGGACUGGAUCCCUGCUGGUCCUGUAUGAUACUCUCGCACCAGACCUCACCUCAGGAAGCCGUUGCCAAACGUUACAUGCCAGAAAGGCCUGGGGGAAAGUGAAAGGAUUCCUCUGGCUGGUGACAGAGGUGACAGACCUGAUGAGGGAAGCCAUGUUGUAUGGCCACCUGGGAGGAAAAAAAAGCAAUAGACUCCAACAAUGUGUUUGUUUCCUGUUUCAAAAAUGCGUUGUGGAAAACAACUUGUUGCUAUACAAGCAUAUAAGCCUCCAAGUAGAGGACUGCAUAAGACUGGAGGUGUGCAAACUGCAACUGCAAAGGAGAGAAUAAGGCAGAAGAACCUUGGAAGAGGAAAAGAUGUCGUGGUAUUUUGCAACAUACGCAUAGCAGGUGGUCACAUUACAGUUCUAAAUGUUGCCGUAUAUUUAAUCCACAAGAGGUCGUUGUAGCACCACAUAAACUUUCCUUAAAGAAGCCACAGAUGUAUGGAGAAGGCUGUAUUUUGACUCUGAAAGAAUGUCAGUCAGAUGUUUUUUGUAAUCCUAAAUCACUUAAGCCAAACUUUUCCAACUUAGAUGCUCAAAAUUAGGCACUUAAUUGUUGAAAGGUUGUUAGUGCUUAGAGCUUCCACUUGAGGUAGCUGCACUGAGGGUAGGGAUGAGAGAAAACAGCAUAGAAAGGAAGGUGGUGACUGUCAGGACUUUAUGACCCAUCUUGUCCAGUCUUUCUCUGAGCUAGUUUAGAUAACAUGAUACAUGAAUAGCAAAAUCUGGCAAGAUCAGUUUGCAAGUCCUUUUUUUGUACUAAAGGUGUGUUUCAAGUUAUACAGGCCUGUAAGUGGGGUUUUUUAGUUUUGGAAUUAUAUAGACAAUUACAUGACAUUUAAUAAAAGAAGCCAAUGCAGCUCAAAAGGAUUCAAAUGAACAAA